This 496-nucleotide ribosomal RNA is filed under the name uncultured bacterium. RNAcentral describes it as "bacterial SSU rRNA". It matches the Rfam family "Bacterial small subunit ribosomal RNA", at positions 10 to 507 of the family's 1533-position model. The record is from RNAcentral.
AGUUUGAUCAUGGCUCAGGAUGAACGCUGGCGGCGUGCCUAACACAUGCAAGUCGAGCGAGAAGCUCAUGACGGACGCUUCGGUUGAAGUCACGAGUGGAAAGCGGCGGACGGGUGAGUAACGCGUAGGCAACCUGCCCUUUGCAGAGGGAUAGCCUCGGGAAACCGGGAUUAAAACCUCAUAAUACCGCAGUGAGACAUCUCACGGUGGUCAAAGAUUUAUCGGCAAAGGAUGGGCCUGCGUCUGAUUAGUUAGUUGGUGGGGUAACGGCCUACCAAGGCGACGAUCAGUAGCCGACCUGAGAGGGUGAUCGGCCACAUUGGAACUGAGACACGGUCCAAACUCCUACGGGAGGCAGCAGUGGGGAAUAUUGCACAAUGGGGGAAACCCUGAUGCAGCAACGCCGCGUGAAGGAUGAAGGCCUUUGGGUCGUAAACUUCUGUUCUAAGGGAAGAUAGUGACGGUACCUUAGGAGCAAGUCCCGGCUAACUACGUG